CGUACACUCCUGCGGGAGGCAGCAGUGGGGAAUUUUGGACAAUGGGCGAAAGCCUGAUCCAGCCAUGCCGCGUGCAGGAUGAAGGCCUUCGGGUUGUAAACUGCUUUUGUACGGAACGAAACGGCCUUUUCUAAUAAAGAGGGCUAAUGACGGUACCGUAAGAAUAAGCACCGGCUAACUACGUGCCAGCAGCCGCGGUAAUACGUAGGGUGCAAGCGUUAAUCGGAAUUACUGGGCGUAAAGCGUGCGCAGGCGGUUAUGUAAGACAGUUGUGAAAUCCCCGGGCUCAACCUGGGAACGGCAUCUGUGACUGCAUAGCUAGAGUACGGUAGAGGGGGAUGGAAUUCCGCGUGUAGCAGUGAAAUGCGUAGAUAUGCGGAGGAACACCGAUGGCGAAGGCAAUCCCCUGGACCUGUACUGACGCUCAUGCACGAAAGCGUGGGGAGCAAACAGGAUUAGAAACCCUAGUAGUCCCAUGAU
RNAcentral lists this ribosomal RNA (480 nucleotides) under uncultured organism. RNAcentral describes it as "partial 16S ribosomal RNA". It matches the Rfam family "Bacterial small subunit ribosomal RNA", at positions 330 to 801 of the family's 1533-position model. The record is from RNAcentral.